GCCCGCGUUGUCUAAUGGCUAUGACGUCAGACUUCUACUUUCGUUCUGAGAAAAGGACUCUAUCUGGAGGUUGCGGGUUCGAGUCCCGCCGUGGGUU
This is a non-coding RNA of Pterulicium gracile, 97 nucleotides long. The record is from the annotation of a GenBank genome assembly. NCBI's taxonomy places the organism in Eukaryota, Fungi, Basidiomycota, Agaricomycetes, Agaricales, Pterulaceae.